UGCUAAUGGGUCCUGUCAGAAAGACACACU
This 30-nucleotide non-coding RNA is filed under the name Mus musculus (house mouse). Lineage: Eukaryota; Metazoa; Chordata; Mammalia; Rodentia; Muridae. The record is from RNAcentral.